RNAcentral lists this ribosomal RNA (388 nucleotides) under Saccharomonospora sp. 42-27. RNAcentral's name for it is "bacterial SSU rRNA". It matches the Rfam family "Bacterial small subunit ribosomal RNA", at positions 524 to 908 of the family's 1533-position model. The record is from RNAcentral. Lineage: Bacteria; Bacillati; Actinomycetota; Actinomycetes; Pseudonocardiales; Pseudonocardiaceae.
UACGUAGGGUGCAAGCGUUGUCCGGAAUUAUUGGGCGUAAAGAGCUCGUAGGCGGUGUGUCACGUCUGCCGUGAAAACCUGCGGCUUAACCGUGGGCGUGCGGUGGAUACGGGCAUCACUUGAGUUCGGUAGGGGAGACUGGAAUUCCUGGUGUAGCGGUGGAAUGCGCAGAUAUCAGGAGGAACACCGGUGGCGAAGGCGGGUCUCUGGGCCGAUACUGACGCUGAGGAGCGAAAGCGUGGGGAGCGAACAGGAUUAGAUACCCUGGUAGUCCACGCCGUAAACGUUGGGCGCUAGGUGUGGGGCGCUGUUCACGUGUCCCGUGCCGUAGCUAACGCAUUAAGCGCCCCGCCUGGGGAGUACGGCCGCAAGGCUAAAACUCAAAGGA